Molecule: ribosomal RNA, 263 nt
Filed under: uncultured bacterium
Lineage: Bacteria
Description: partial 16S ribosomal RNA
Source: RNAcentral
CUGCUGCCUUCCGUAGGAGUCUGGUCCGUGUCUCAGUACCAGUGUGGGGGACCUUCCUCUCAGAACCCCUACGCAUCGUCGCCUCGGUGGGCCGUUACCCCGCCGACUAGCUAAUGCGACGCAUGGCCAUCCUAUGCCGGAGUCGCCUCCUUUGACCCCAAGAAGAUGUCUCCUAAAGGUGUUAUGCGGUAUUAGACGGAAUUUCUUCCGCUUAUCCCCCUGCAUAGGGCAGGUUCCAUACGUGUUACUCACCCGUGCGCCGG